RNAcentral lists this ribosomal RNA (465 nucleotides) under uncultured bacterium. RNAcentral's name for it is "partial 16S ribosomal RNA". It matches the Rfam family "Bacterial small subunit ribosomal RNA", at positions 338 to 795 of the family's 1533-position model. The record is from RNAcentral.
CCUACGGGGGGCAGCAGUGGGGAAUAUUGCGCAAUGGGCGAAAGCCUGACGCAGCGACGCCGCGUGAGGGAUGAAGGUCUUCGGAUCGUAAACCUCUGUCAGCAGGGAAGAACGGUCACUGUGCUAAUCAGCAGUGACUUGACGGUACCUGCAAAGGAAGCACCGGCUAACUCCGUGCCAGCAGCCGCGGUAAUACGGAGGGUGCGAGCGUUAAUCGGAAUUACUGGGCGUAAAGCGCUCGUAGGCGGUAUGUCAAGUCAGGGGUGAAAUCCCCGAGCUCAACGUGGGAACUGCCUUUGAAACUGGCAAACUGGAGUGUGUGAGAGGAGAGUGGAAUUCCAGGUGUAGGAGUGAAAUCCGUAGAGAUCUGGAGGAACAUCAGUGGCGAAGGCGACUAUCUGGCACAUAACUGACGCUGAUGAGCGAAAGCGUGGGUAGCAAACAGGAUUAGAUACCCUUGUAGUC